RNAcentral lists this ribosomal RNA (689 nucleotides) under uncultured Oscillospiraceae bacterium. Its description in RNAcentral is "bacterial SSU rRNA". It matches the Rfam family "Bacterial small subunit ribosomal RNA", at positions 9 to 714 of the family's 1533-position model. Lineage: Bacteria; Bacillati; Bacillota; Clostridia; Eubacteriales; Oscillospiraceae. The record is from RNAcentral.
GAGUUUGAUCAUGGCUCAGGACGAACGCUGGCGGCGUGCCUAACACAUGCAAGUCGAACGAAGCUUAGGACUUCGGUUUUAAGCUUAGUGGCGGACGGGUGAGUAACGCGUGAGUAACCUGCCUUACAGAGGGGGAUAACGUCUGGAAACGGACGCUAAUACCGCAUGACAUUUCAGCACCACAUGGUGCAGAAAUCAAAGGAGCAAUCCGCUGUAAGAUGGACUCGCGUCCGAUUAGCUAGAUGGUGAGAUAACAGCCCACCAUGGCGACGAUCGGUAGCCGGACUGAGAGGUUGAACGGCCACAUUGGGACUGAGACACGGCCCAGACUCCUACGGGAGGCAGCAGUGGGGGAUAUUGCACAAUGGAGGAAACUCUGAUGCAGCAACGCCGCGUGAAGGAAGACGGUCUUCGGAUUGUAAACUUUUGUACUUGGGACGAUAAUGACGGUACCCAAGCAGCAAGCCCCGGCUAACUACGUGCCAGCAGCCGCGGUAAUACGUAGGGAGCGAGCGUUGUCCGGAUUUACUGGGUGUAAAGGGUGCGUAGGCGGCUUGGCAAGUCAGUUGUGAAAACUAUGGGCUCAACCCAUAGCCUGCAAUUGAAACUGUUGAGCUUGAGUGAAGUAGAGGUAGGUGGAAUUCCCGGUGUAGCGGUGAAAUGCGUAGAGAUCGGGAGGAACACCAGUG